Molecule: long non-coding RNA, 213 nt
Filed under: Lathyrus oleraceus (garden pea)
Lineage: Eukaryota; Viridiplantae; Streptophyta; Magnoliopsida; Fabales; Fabaceae
Description: Pisum sativum (pea) long non-coding RNA (PSAT_LNC003983)
Source: RNAcentral
AUAAUCACAUGUCAAAUCAUGCAUCCAAGCAUGAACAAUAUUAAAAACAAAUACCAAAAACCAUAUGCCAUUUUCAAGCAAUUUCAAGUAUAUCAAAGCAUAAACCAUUCAUUACAUAUCACCAUGGCCAAAUGUUAUACCAUCGACAAUAUGAAAAUUCCAAUUAGUCCUAACAUCCAUCACAAUGAAGACCAUAACAUGAACUUACACCAA